Long non-coding RNA from Gopherus flavomarginatus (Mexican gopher tortoise), 875 nucleotides. RefSeq lists it as uncharacterized. The transcript has 2 exons. NCBI's taxonomy places the organism in Eukaryota, Metazoa, Chordata, Testudines, Testudinidae. The record is from RefSeq and is a predicted model, not a curated record.
ACAGCUAAUGCAUUAAUAGACGCUUUCCAAAAGUUGCAACGAAAGACUGAUGAAGUAGCAGAAGUAACUUUGCAAAAUAGACGUGUGCUAAAUGCCAUGAAUGCUGAAUUAGAGAAGGGCUUGUGCUCGCAUUGGGGAAAAAUGUUGCUUUGCUGUUAAUCACUCUGGCUUAAUUGACAAAGAUUUACAAGCUAUUAAGAAUGUUGCUGUUGUUUUCCAUGCUAUAUCUCUUGAUCACACUUUUAGUUUUAAGGACCUCCACUCAGACCUUGGGUCAUGGUUUACUAGCCUCCCCCGUACAAUUGUUAAAUGGAUAUGUGUCCCAAGAGUCCCAUUAUGGUCCUCUAGGGACAAAGGGGGGAUUGUUAGGCCUGAAUAAAGAUAUAGCAGACAAAACCAGGUAUGCCAACCUGACCAGAGUCAGGCUAACAGAGGUUUGUGGGUAAUCCCUGAGUGGAAAACACUGAGAAGCAGCAGCAUGUCUCACAAGCGCUGGGAAAAAGUGAGAUAAGAGAGAAGCUGCAUUCCUGGCAUAGUACCAGAUGUGCUGUGUUCGGGCAGCUCCUUCGAAGAACUGAUAAGAGUCCUAGUUUCCCAGCCUCCUUGUUUUCGCUCCCUGGUUUUCCUCCCUGGUUUUGUUCUUUGUUUGUUUUUAACUCCCCUACAUUUCUAACUUUAGGCAUGCAUGUAUACUAAAGGUGUCUAGUUUCUAGUUGUUAGAAGAAGGGGGUGGGUUGCUCCAGUGAAUAAUUUAUGACGCGACGGAACUGUCUAUAUAGGCUUAUACUAAGAUGUAAAGAGCAGGCUGGUUCUCUCUGGAGACGAGCUGCUCUCUAUUGAUGCGUGCACUUGUCAAUAAAGAGCUUUUGAUCGGA